This 503-nucleotide ribosomal RNA is filed under the name uncultured bacterium. Its description in RNAcentral is "partial 16S ribosomal RNA". It matches the Rfam family "Bacterial small subunit ribosomal RNA", at positions 30 to 523 of the family's 1533-position model. The record is from RNAcentral.
AUUGAACGCUGGCGGCAGGCUUAACACAUGCAAGUCGAGCGGGGUGAUGGUGCUUGCACUAUCACUUAGCGGCGGACGGGUGAGUAAUGCUUAGGAAUCUGCCUAUUAGUGGGGGACAACAUCUCGAAAGGGAUGCUAAUACCGCAUACGUCCUACGGGAGAAAGCAGGGGAUCACUUGUGACCUUGCGCUAAUAGAUGAGCCUAAGUCGGAUUAGCUAGUUGGUGGGGUAAAGGCCUACCAAGGCGACGAUCUGUAGCGGGUCUGAGAGGAUGAUCCGCCACACUGGGACUGAGGCACGGCCCAGACUCCUACGGGAGGCAGCAGUGGGGAAUAUUGGACAAUGGGGGGAACCCUGAUCCAGCCAUGCCGCGUGUGUGAAGAAGGCCUUAUGGUUGUAAAGCACUUUAAGCGAGAAGGAGGCUCUUUUGGUUAAUACCCAAGAUGAGUGGACGUUACUCGCAGAAUAAGCACCGGCUAACUCUGUGCCAGCCGCCGCGGUAA